AGGACGAACGCUGGCGGCGUGCUUAACACAUGCAAGUCGAGCGGAAAGGCCCUUCGGGGUACUCGAGCGGCGAACGGGUGAGUAACACGUGAGUAACCUGCCCCUAGCUCUGGGAUAGCUCCGGGAAACCGGGAUUAAUACCAGAUACGACCACUUUAGACAUCUGUCGUGGUGGAAAGGAUUCCGGCUAGGGAUGGGCUCGCGGCCUAUCAGCUUGUUGGUGGGGUAACGGCCUACCAAGGCGACGACGGUAGCCGGCCUGAGAGGGCGACCGGCCACACUGGGACUGAGACACGGCCCAGACUCCUACGGGAGGCAGCAGUGGGAAUAUUGCGCAAUGGGCGAAAGCCUGACGCAGCGACGCCGCGUGGGGAUGAAGGCCUUCGGGUUGUAAACCCCUUUCAGCAGGGACGAAGCGAAAGUGACGGUACCUGCAGAAGAAGCGCCGGCUAACUACGUGCCAGCAGCCGC
RNAcentral lists this ribosomal RNA (471 nucleotides) under uncultured bacterium. RNAcentral's name for it is "SSU rRNA". It matches the Rfam family "Bacterial small subunit ribosomal RNA", at positions 26 to 518 of the family's 1533-position model. The record is from RNAcentral.